Molecule: ribosomal RNA, 409 nt
Filed under: uncultured bacterium
Lineage: Bacteria
Description: bacterial SSU rRNA
Rfam family: Bacterial small subunit ribosomal RNA
Source: RNAcentral
GACGAACGCUGGCGGCGUGCUUAACACAUGCAAGUCGAACGAGAGGAGAAGGAAGCUUGCUUCUUUCAAAUCUAGUGGCAAACGGGUGAGUAACACGUAAACAACCUGCCUUCAGGAUGGGGACAACAGACGGAAACGACUGCUAAUACCGAAUACGUUCCUUAGGUCGCAUGACUUUAGGAAGAAAGGGUGGCUCUUCGGAGCUUUCGCUGAAGGAGGGGCUUGCGUCUGAUUAGCUAGUUGGAGGGGUAACGGGCCCACCAAGGCGACGAUCAGUAGCCGGUCUGAGAGGAUGAACGGCCACAUUGGGACUGAGACACGGCCCAGACUCCUACGGAGGCAGCAGUGGGGAAUCUUCCGCAAUGGACGAAAGUCUGACGGAGCAACGCCGCGUGAACGAUGACGGCCU